This 427-nucleotide ribosomal RNA is filed under the name uncultured bacterium. RNAcentral's name for it is "partial 16S ribosomal RNA". It matches the Rfam family "Bacterial small subunit ribosomal RNA", at positions 354 to 796 of the family's 1533-position model. The record is from RNAcentral.
GUGGGGAAUAUUGGGCAAUGGGCGCAAGCCUGACCCAGCAACGCCGCGUGAAGGAAGAAGGCUUUCGGGUUGUAAACUUCUUUUAUGAGGGACGAAUAGAUGACGGUACCUCAUGAAUAAGCCACGGCUAACUACGUGCCAGCAGCCGCGGUAAUACGUAGGUGGCAAGCGUUAUCCGGAUUUACUGGGUGUAAAGGGCGUGUAGGCGGGACUGCAAGUCAGAUGUGAAAUUCCAGGGCUCAACCCUGGACCUGCAUUUGAAACUGUGGUUCUUGAGUGAUGGAGAGGCAGGCGGAAUUCCCUGUGUAGCGGUGAAAUGCGUAGAUAUAGGGAGGAACACCAGUGGCGAAGGCGGCCUGCUGGACAUUAACUGACGCUGAGGCGCGAAAGCGUGGGGAGCAAACAGGAUUAGAAACCCCGGUAGUCC